UUUUAUUCUUUCCAUGAUCUCUUUGUCCCCUCUUCUUUGCUUCCUAAUUUACAACUCAUUGUACCUUAUUGUACAUUGCAUCAGAGGUAGAAAAAUCUAGAAAUAUAUAAAAAUAGAGAUUUGUUUAUAUUCAUAAAAUUAGAAAAUUUUUUUGAGAAACGAGUCUAUGGCUCCCAUUAUGUGUAGACAAACAAUUAUCUUGCCUUUUGGCAUGAUGGGAUUAAUGCCUUGCAUGACAUUUGUUGAUAUAUAUG
This 254-nucleotide long non-coding RNA is filed under the name Elaeis guineensis (African oil palm). Its description in RNAcentral is "long non-coding RNA (EGUI_LNC075572)". The record is from RNAcentral. Lineage: Eukaryota; Viridiplantae; Streptophyta; Magnoliopsida; Arecales; Arecaceae.